ACGAACGCUGGCGGCACGCUUAACACAUGCAAGUCGAACGGCAACGGGUCCUUCGGGAUGCCGGCGAGUGGCGAACGGGUGAGUAACACGUGGAGACCUACCCUGGGGUGGGGGAUAACAGCUAGAAAUGGCUGCUAAUACCGCAUACGCCUUACGAGGGAAAGAUUUAUUGCCCCAGGAGGGUUCCGCGUCGGAUUAGCUUGUUGGUGGGGUAACGGCCUACCAAGGCGAUGAUCCGUAGCUGGUCUUAGAGGAUGAUCAGCCACACUGGGACUGAGACACGGCCCAGACUCCUACGGGAGGCAGCAGUGGGGAAUAUUGGACAAUGGGCGCAAGCCUGAUCCAGCCAUGCCGCGUGAGUGACGAAGGUCUUCGGAUUGUAAAGCUCUUUUGGCGGGGACGAUAAUGACGGUACCCGCAGAAUAAGCCCCGGCUAACUUCGU
Molecule: ribosomal RNA, 443 nt
Filed under: uncultured bacterium
Lineage: Bacteria
Description: bacterial SSU rRNA
Rfam family: Bacterial small subunit ribosomal RNA
Source: RNAcentral